Long non-coding RNA from Xenia sp. Carnegie-2017, 435 nucleotides. RefSeq lists it as uncharacterized. Lineage: Eukaryota; Metazoa; Cnidaria; Anthozoa; Malacalcyonacea; Xeniidae. The transcript has 3 exons. The record is from RefSeq and is a predicted model, not a curated record.
CUAAAGAAUAUGACAAAGCAAGAGAAUUUCAUGAAAAAGCGUUGGAAAUUCAACAAAAAGCACUUGGUCCUGAAAAUGUUAAUGUAGCUACGACUUUAAAAAAUCUUGGUAAUGUGUACCAUUCUACUAAAGAAAAGGACAAAGCAAACGAAUUUUAUAAGAAAGCGCAGGCAAUUCGAAAAAAAUCGUUUGCUUCGAAUCAUGUUGUUGUUACUGAAUCUUCGAACAGUAUUGAUUUCCUUGGAUAAAUGGAUGAUGUGUGCAAGUUAAGAAUUAUGCGGUCGGCACUAGAUCAUGGUCAACUAACGUACGCCCCCCACAUAUUAUUCUUAUUAUGUCAGCGAUUUACUGGACCUAAGGAGAACAAUGUAAUGUUAUAAAGUAGAAAUGGACUCUAUUUGUAUUAUAGAUAUGAUAUUAAAUAUUUUCCUGUUA